UGUGACUUGCAGAUGCCCCAGAAAUGGCUA
RNAcentral lists this non-coding RNA (30 nucleotides) under Mus musculus (house mouse). Lineage: Eukaryota; Metazoa; Chordata; Mammalia; Rodentia; Muridae. The record is from RNAcentral.